This 622-nucleotide ribosomal RNA is filed under the name uncultured Actinomycetes bacterium. Its description in RNAcentral is "SSU rRNA". It matches the Rfam family "Bacterial small subunit ribosomal RNA", at positions 242 to 877 of the family's 1533-position model. The record is from RNAcentral. Lineage: Bacteria; Bacillati; Actinomycetota; Actinomycetes.
CAGCUAGUUGGUGAGGUAACGGCCCACCAAGGCAUCGACGGGUAGCUGGUCUGAGAGGACGAUCAGCCACACUGGGACUGAGACACGGCCCAGACUCCUACGGGAGGCAGCAGUGGGGAAUCUUGCGCAAUGGGCGAAAGCCUGACGCAGCAACGCCGCGUGGAGGACGAAGGCUUUCUGAGUUGUAAACUCCUUUCAGCAGGGACGAUAGUGACGGUACCUGCAGAAGAAGCACCGGCCAACUACGUGCCAGCAGCCGCGGUGAUACGUAGGGUGCAAGCGUUGUCCGGAUUUAUUGGGCGUAAAGAGCUCGUAGGCGGUUUGAUUAGUCGGGUGUGAAACCUCCAGGCUCAACCUGGAGCCGCCACUCGAUACUGUCAUGACUAGAAUUCGGUAGGGGACCACGGAAUUCCUGGUGUAGCGGUGAAAUGCGCAGAUAUCAGGAGGAACACCAGCAGCGAAGGCGGUGGUCUGGGCCGACAUUGACGCUGAGGAGCGAAAGCGUGGGGAGCGAACAGGAUUAGAUACCCUGGUAGUCCACGCCGUAAACGUUGGGCACUAGGUGCGGGGACUAUUCAACGGUUUCCGUGCCGCAGCUAACGCAUUAAGUGCCCCGCCUGGG